GUACAGAAACCAUCUUCUGCAAACUGCACUGAUUUAAUUCCAGCAUCUGCAGCAGCUUCUCUCACCGAGGUGACUGGCAAGAAGAAGUCAAAGUGCCGCCAGUACUAUUAGAUCAAGUGUCCUUGGCCCAUUAAAAGGAAAAGGUGAAAUGACAUCUGAACACCAUCCAAAGAGAAUUUUCCAAGACACAACCACCAUGCUUUCUUCUGAUACUAAUCCUAGUGUUUGAUAGGAAUAUGUGGGAGAAGAGCUGGCUUAGACAGAUGUAGAACCGCCCAGUCUGCUCAAGGCAUUACCAAGUGAAUAGCUUAGUCCUAAACAUCAGUUCCAUAGAUUAAAAACUUG
This is a long non-coding RNA of Capra hircus (goat), 345 nucleotides long. RefSeq lists it as uncharacterized. The transcript is spliced from 4 exons. Lineage: Eukaryota; Metazoa; Chordata; Mammalia; Artiodactyla; Bovidae. The record is from RefSeq and is a predicted model, not a curated record.